GCACCCGUAGCUCAACUGGAUAGAGCGCUUCCCUCCGAAGGAAGAGGUUGUGAGUUCGACCCUCGCCGGGUGCA
Molecule: transfer RNA, 74 nt
Filed under: Verrucomicrobiota bacterium
Lineage: Bacteria; Pseudomonadati; Verrucomicrobiota
Description: Verrucomicrobia bacterium (freshwater metagenome) tRNA-Arg
Rfam family: tRNA
About the family: Transfer RNA (tRNA) molecules are approximately 80 nucleotides in length. Their secondary structure includes four short double-helical elements and three loops (D, anti-codon, and T loops). Further hydrogen bonds mediate the characteristic L-shaped molecular structure. tRNAs have two regions of fundamental functional importance: the anti-codon, which is responsible for specific mRNA codon recognition, and the 3' end, to which the tRNAs corresponding amino acid is attached (by aminoacyl-tRNA synthetases). tRNAs cope with the degeneracy of the genetic code in two manners: having more than one tRNA (with a specific anti-codon) for a particular amino acid; and 'wobble' base-pairing, i.e. permitting non-standard base-pairing at the 3rd anti-codon position.
Source: RNAcentral